This 357-nucleotide ribosomal RNA is filed under the name Triticum aestivum (bread wheat). RNAcentral describes it as "partial small subunit ribosomal RNA". The record is from RNAcentral. Lineage: Eukaryota; Viridiplantae; Streptophyta; Magnoliopsida; Poales; Poaceae.
AAGACUUUGGACCACUUAUUACUCGGGUGCAUCGUAGCACGACAAGUAUGGGCCAGGAUCAUGAACACCUGGGGAAGACCGGAUUGGACACCAUCAACAGAUUCAAACCUCGUGAAAUGGUGUGCAUCACUUAAUCCACAAAAGCAUUUUUGGAAGGAGGCGUGGACAGUGGUAUCACUGGUGCUCUGGAUGUUGUGGAAAUACCGAAACGACAUAGUGUUCAAUGGAGCCUCGCCAUCGGUGGACGACGUGCUUGCAAGGAUCGAAUUGGAGACGCAAGACUGGAGGGCGGCCGGCCUACUUCGAGAACAUGGCUCCGUCACAUGUAUGGUAGAUAGGUUGGAUGAUGGUGAGUAA